CCUACGGGUGGCUGCAGUGAGGAAUAUUGGUCAAUGGGCGGGAGCCUGAACCAGCCAAGCCGCGUGAGGGAAGAAGGUACAGCGUAUCGUAAACCUCUUUUGUCAGGGAACAAAGGCGGGGACUAGUCCCCGGAUGAGGGUACCUGAAGAAAAAGCAUCGGCUAACUCCGUGCCAGCAGCCGCGGUAAUACGGAGGAUGCGAGCGUUAUCCGGAAUCAUUGGGCGUAAAGAGUUCGUAGGUGGCACGUUAAGUCUGGUGUUAAAGGCGGAAGCUCAACUUCCGUAGGGCACUGGAUACUGGCGAGCUUGAAUGCGGUAGAGGUAAAGGGAAUUCCUGGUGUAGCGGUGAAAUGCGUAGAUAUCAGGAGGAACAUCGGUGGCGUAAGCGCUUUACUGGGCCGUAAUUGACACUGAGGAACGAAAGCCGGGGUAGCAAAUGGGAUUAGAUACCCCUGUAGUC
This 460-nucleotide ribosomal RNA is filed under the name uncultured bacterium. Its description in RNAcentral is "partial 16S ribosomal RNA". It matches the Rfam family "Bacterial small subunit ribosomal RNA", at positions 338 to 795 of the family's 1533-position model. The record is from RNAcentral.